RNAcentral lists this long non-coding RNA (343 nucleotides) under Nicotiana benthamiana. RNAcentral describes it as "long non-coding RNA (NBEN_LNC012383)". The record is from RNAcentral. Lineage: Eukaryota; Viridiplantae; Streptophyta; Magnoliopsida; Solanales; Solanaceae.
UUAAGGAUAGAAAAAUCUUAUUCAUCCUAUCAUACCUUGACAAUAGGUUUUCAUCACUAGAUGCAAUCGAGAAUACUGCAAUGUUCCCCAACUUAAACCACUGGGAUUAGGUGAAUGAUACUGAUGUUUUGACAUUUGAAAAGUUGUUUCAUGCUCGUUGAAGAUUCUAAAAGGUUUGACAAAUAUUACUAUCAAAUGUAAAGUUGAAUGAUUAAUCAAUUUCCUUAUAAGACCCCAUAUUUUUAUCCCUCCUUUGAUGGAGUAGGAGGAUGUUAAUCUUAUAUCAAAAGAAAGUCGCACGAGGCUGAUCCAGAAUAUAAUACUUUUACAGAUUUAGCACCGG